CGUGCUUAACACAUGCAAGUCGAGCGGUAAGGCCCUUCGGGGUACACGAGCGGCGAACGGGUGAGUAACACGUGAGCAACCUGCCCCUGACUCCGGGAUAAGCGGUGGAAACGCCGUCUAAUACCGGAUAUGACACACCAUCUCCUGGUGGUGUGUGGAAAGUUGUAUCGGUCAGGGAUGGGCUCGCGGCCUAUCAGCUAGUUGGUGGGGUAAAGGCCUACCAAGGCGAUUACGGGUAGCCGGCCUGAGAGGGCGACCGGCCACACUGGGACUGAGACACGGCCCAGACUCCUGCGGGAGGCAGCAGUGGGGAAUAUUGCACAAUGGGCGAAAGCCUGAUGCAGCGACGCCGCGUGGGGGAUGACGGCCUUCGGGUUGUAAACCUCUUUUACCACCAACGCAGGCCCCGGGUUCUCUCGGGGUUGACGGUAGGUGGGGAAUAAGGACCGGCUAACUACGUGCCAGCAGCCGCGGUAAUACGUAGGGUCCGAGCGUUGUCCGGAAUUAUUGGGCGUAAAGAGCUCGUAGGCGGCGUGUCGCGUCUGCUGUGAAAGACCGGGGCUUAACCCCGGUUCUGCAGUGGAUACGGG
This 590-nucleotide ribosomal RNA is filed under the name Nocardiopsis sp. YIM 80290. Its description in RNAcentral is "bacterial SSU rRNA". It matches the Rfam family "Bacterial small subunit ribosomal RNA", at positions 43 to 636 of the family's 1533-position model. Lineage: Bacteria; Bacillati; Actinomycetota; Actinomycetes; Streptosporangiales; Nocardiopsidaceae. The record is from RNAcentral.